RNA transcript from Cucurbita moschata (crookneck pumpkin), 1856 nucleotides. It is a transcript of the gene named WD repeat-containing protein DWA2-like, with no coding region annotated. The record is from RefSeq and is a predicted model, not a curated record. The transcript has 6 exons. Lineage: Eukaryota; Viridiplantae; Streptophyta; Magnoliopsida; Cucurbitales; Cucurbitaceae.
UUUGAUCAUCGUUGAGUGUUUCAUUAUCCACCAUGCAAGGUGGAUCAUCAGGCAUUGGCUACGGGCUGAAAUACCAGGCUCGAUGCAUCGCUGAUGUCAAAGCAGAUACAGAUCACACCAGCUUCAUCACCGGUACUCUCAGUCUCAAAGACGAAAAUGAGGCGCAUUUGAUUCGUCUCUCGUCGAGUGGAUCCGAGCUCAUAUGCGAGGGUUUGUUUUCUCACCCCAAUGAGAUCUGGGACCUCGCAUCUUGCCCCUUCGACCAACGCAUUUUCUCUACCGUCUUCUCCACUGGUGAAACUUCGAAGCAGCAAUAUGGCAAAUCCCGGAGUUAUAUGGCGAAUUGAAUUCUCCUCAGUUGGAAAAGGUUACAUCACUUAAUGACCAUGCUAGUAAGAUCAACUGUGUUCUUUGGUGGCCAUCUGGUAGACAUGAUAAGCUGAUCAGCAUUGAUGAGGAAAAUAUUUUACUAUGGAGCUUGGAUUGUUCAAGAAAACUUGCUCAGCUCAUUUCUUCUUUUGCUGCCAAAGCCAUAACUUUAGCAUUCAUCUUCUUCCUUUGUGUAUGCUGGAUUGUGAAACGGGGCCAGCUUCCUUCAAACUUUCAAUGAUGGAUAUUUUUGUCAAUAAUUGGUUACAUUCUGAAGUAAUGCAUCCGAACACAUCUUUGCCCAAGUUUCAAUCACAUCCUUCAAGCCCUUAAGUUCGAUGAUAAAGCCAUGGCGCAGCCAUCCAUGAAGGGGUGUUCUUCCGCCAAUUUUCUAUCAUGGGCAUGAAGGAUUGGUGUUGGAGCCACAUAUUUUUUAAGCAAAAAGGUGAGGGGCUCAUAUGAUACUGCCCAUGUAUAAGAUCAAGGGAAAGUGGUCUGAUAUGGGUCUGUUGGCGCGCCUAACCCCGACAAUUGUGAACUUGUCGAGGAUAUCUUUUACGGAUAGAAAUCUGUCAGUGAGAGUCAUAAUGGAGGGAAUUCUGUUAUCGGACUAGGUAAACUGCCCAUUCUGCAGGGGAAGGUCAUCGAGUUCAGUUAGACACCUCUAUUUUGCGGGUGAGUUUAUUGUUAGAUUUCUCAUGGGACCAGCGAGAUACAUUCUGGAGUUGCUAUCUGCACAAGGAAGGAGCUUGUAAAUCUGAGGGGAGAUCAUUAUGGAAUUCAUCGAGUUUUGUACACGAAAAAUGGUUAAUUGAUCACCGUCCCUCCUAAUAUCAGUUGGAGCCCCAUUGACAGCCACCAAUUUGUCAAAUUCGAAACAGAACCUUAGAACUAGAAAUUUGGAAAGUUGUACAACUCAGCAUCGACAAAUCCCGAUGCCCUGAUGGAUUGACAUAAAAAAUCUUCAAAAAUGUUGGAACGUCCUCAAAGGUGACGUUAUGAGGGUGUUCCACAUUUGUCUGAUUCGCAAAGAAAAUAGAUGCUUGGACUAUUGCUGAAUUUCACCCCAUCAGUCUUACCACAUGCCUCUACAUGAUGGUUGCUUGGGUCCUAUCUGAACGACUUAAGAAGGUUCUUCCUCUCACCAUAACAGAAUACCAAACUGCUUUUGUCGAGAAGAGACAAAUCCUUAGUUCAUCACCACAUUGAAAAUGCCGCUUCCACCCUUUUCUGGUUGACCCGUGGCGGUUAUGGGUGAUCACACUAAUCUUUUGGAGACAUCUUUGGCUAGAGAUGUGAAUGCACUCCUUAGUUCUAUUCUGAUGGGUCACCCAUUCAAGAAUGCCCAGGCUCUACUGUGGAUUCAUAAUUCUCAUGCUUUCUUUUCUGUCAUUUUGAAUGAAAGAAGCCAAAGGGUCUUCAUGAAUAAAGAGCAUCCUUUUGAUGCUCAAAGGUUUCAUGAAAUAUUGGGAGACUGUCAUUUGAUU